UCUGAACAAAAAUGUUUUUGAAUUUUUUAAGUAGCUGUCAACUUCGAAAAGUUCAAAAUUUGUGAAAACCAAAUUGUUUGACUGGAGAAAGGUUUAGAAUUCGCACCUCGACAAAAUACAAUUAGCCUAGCGUAAAUCUGAAUUUUACAUGUUAAAUCGUCAGGGUUGGCCAAGAUAUUUUGUUUCAAAGAUACAAGAUACAAAAUAUUUUGAACGAAACCCAAGAUACAAGAUACUAAAUACAAAUAAUUAGAGUUACACAAGAUACAAGAUAAAUUUUAUCUGCUGUGAUCCCAGAUACACUCUUAGAACUGUGGUAAUAAAAAUGCAUACUCGUUUACUACCGAGCGGUUGGUAAAUAUAGACUUUCCCGGAACAGUAAUGAAAUUGUUUACCAAAAUUCAUUAUAAUGCAAAAACUUUAUUUAUUAUUGUUUGGUAUUAUCGGGAAAACCAAAGCGGUAAUAUAAAAUUACCAAGUUAUGUUAAUUUAACACUGCAGUGAGGAAUAUGAUUAAUACUGCCUCGCAUUGAAUCUUUUAGUUUAAUGGGUAAUAAGUUCAAACUCUAAUGCGGUGUAGUUUUAAUACUACUCCGGUAAAUAUCUUUUGCAAACUCGACCCCGCAACAUUCAAAACCACGAGGACUCGCUCUCCAGAAAAUUUGUUCGUGCUUAGAAUUCUUUUCGAGCUGGUUCUUAAAGGUAAAUUUAAAGUCACUGCAAAGUUUGCUGCCAAACUGAUCGAGCUAUAACAUAUAAUGUGAUUCAUCAUUAAUUCAAGAUCAGAAGUCAUUUGCUGAAACUAUUGUUGACAUCUUGCCGUUUUGGACAUCUCCUGGGACUGCUCGUGGAAUUGUAAAUUUGAAUUUUAAUGUACUAUUUAUGAAAUUUUAACUAAUGAAUACUGUGUAUAAUUUUG
Molecule: long non-coding RNA, 919 nt
Organism: Folsomia candida
Lineage: Eukaryota; Metazoa; Arthropoda; Collembola; Entomobryomorpha; Isotomidae
Exons: 3
Source: RefSeq, a predicted model, not a curated record